UACGAAGGGUGCAAGCGUUAAUCGGAAUUACUGGGCGUAAAGCGCGCGUAGGUGGUUCAGCAAGUUGGAUGUGAAAGCCCCGGGCUCAACCUGGGAACUGCAUCCAAAACUACUGGGCUAGAGUAUGGUAGAGGGUGGUGGAAUUUCCUGUGUAGCGGUGAAAUGCGUAGAUAUAGGAAGGAACACCAGUGGCGAAGGCGACCACCUGGACUAAUACUGACACUGAGGUGCGAAAGCGUGGGGAGCAAAACAGG
This 254-nucleotide ribosomal RNA is filed under the name uncultured bacterium. RNAcentral's name for it is "partial 16S ribosomal RNA". It matches the Rfam family "Bacterial small subunit ribosomal RNA", at positions 524 to 776 of the family's 1533-position model. The record is from RNAcentral.